UGUGUGUGUGUGUGUGUGAGAGAGUGAGAGUGUACACACACACUCACGUGUGGGACAGCUGUUGAAUAACUGCCUUUUACAUAGACCCAGAUAAUAUCUGUGACAUACAAGUUUGAAUGCAUGUUAUUAAAAUAAAUUUUGUUUCCAUUUCACACAAGAGAUGAGUCACAUCGGGGUUGCUGUUCCUCCCUCCAGAGCGUGAAGGUGACAGGCAUUAGGGUUGGAUCACGUGGGCCGUAUGCAUUCCCAGUUUCAGAGGAUGAGCAGCAGGCUGGUAGUAAAUAUGCAUAAUCACUGUGUUGCCAUGCCAACUGUCAGUGCUGGCAACACUGUCAAAUAGGAGUUCCAUGUAACCGUUCUUUUCUUCAACAGUUCAAGUUUAUGGAAUUUCCCCAUCUUUACCUGACAAACUGCAGAAGCAAGAUACAUAGGCGUACUUGCCACACACCAUUUAGUGUGGUGACACUCCACAUGGCAUUGAAUCAGCACAGGAAAGCCAGGCAAGGCUUGGGCUUUUGACUUUAUGAAGUAAAAUGGGAUCUGUAAUACCUGCGACCGUGUCUCCUGAAGGUGUCAUCACACAAACCAAAAAUGCUUUCUUAUAUAAUGCAACUUAGACAAGCAUGUGACCAGGGGCAGUGCUGAACCUCUUCCUGAGCCCCGUCUUCAGCCGAUUGAGAAGGAACUGAGGGGGUGCGGGACACGCGCGCACAGACAGACCCUAAUGCCGCCGUGAGACAACAGCUGGGUGCGUGCAUCUGGAGUGCAUCACCUGGAGUGGAGCACCCAUAGCACUCGAAGAAGAAGGAAUUUUAUACUUUAAAUAUUAAUGUUAAAUAUUAACUUUAAGUCCGUGGAACUUUGUAAUGGACUGAUCUCAAGGAUACUUUUCGUCACUUACUCUCAAGAAAUAAUAAAUAAAACAAAAGCAAUACUACUAAGGAUGAAAAAAACUUGGAUAUAUUAGCUUCAAUCUUUUUCACUGUAAGAAUGAGAAAUAGUUAAAGUCUGACAGACAAUGCUACUUUUGAACAUUGUCCAUGCACUGACUAAACCACUAGAGAAGCAGUUUAAGGAGAGUAAAAUAUAUUUCAAUAGAUAAACACAUCAGAUAACUGUUCAUAGGGAAAACCAACUCAAAUGAAGUAUCAUAACACUUUGUUUUUUAACAGUGUAUAGAAUACUAAGUUGUUUCAUUAUACUGUGUGUUGAAGUGCUUAGUAGGAAAUAAACAUGUUAUUCUGCUGAUAUAUUCACAUGUUUUGAUAAGGUAUGUGCCAAGACAUUCCUUGCUAAGUUAAGUGACUAAUCAGAUGCUGUGCUGGUAAGCACACCCUCAAGUGUCAUCAUAACCCGGACGUUUGCACAUGACACCCAGAGAAA
Long non-coding RNA from Chelonia mydas (Green sea turtle), 1383 nucleotides. RefSeq lists it as uncharacterized. The transcript has 3 exons. The record is from RefSeq and is a predicted model, not a curated record. NCBI's taxonomy places the organism in Eukaryota, Metazoa, Chordata, Testudines, Cheloniidae.